GCACUGUUUCGGCAAGGGGGUCAUCCCGACUUACCAACCCGAUGCAAACUGCGAAUACCGGAGAAUGUUAUCACGGGAGACACACGGCGGGUGCUAACGUCCGUCGUGAAGAGGGAAACAACCCAGACCGCCAGCUAAGGUCCCAAAGUCAUGGUUAAGUGGGAAACGAUGUGGGAAGGCCCAGACAGCCAGGAUGUUGGCUUAGAAGCAGCCAUCAUUUAAAGAAAGCGUAAUAGCUCACUGGUCGAGUCGGCCUGCGCGGAAGAUGUAACGGGGCUAAACCAUGCACCGAAGCUGCGGCAGCGACGCUGAUGCGUUGUUGGGUAGGGGAGCGUUCUGUAAGCCUGUGAAGGUGUGCUGUGAGGCAUGCUGGAGGUAUCAGAAGUGCGAAUGCUGACAUAAGUAACGAUAAAGCGGGUGAAAAGCCCGCUCGCCGGAAGACCAAGGGUUCCUGUCCAACGUUAAUCGGGGCAGGGUGAGUCGACCCCUAAGGCGAGGCCGAAAGGCGUAGUCGAUGGGAAACAGGUUAAUAUUCCUGUACUUGGUGUUACUGCGAAGGGGGGACGGAGAAGGCUAUGUUGGCCGGGCGACGGUUGUCCCGGUUUAAGCGUGUAGGCUGGUUUUCCAGGCAAAUCCGGAAAAUCAAGGCUGAGGCGUGAUGACGAGGCACUACGGUGCUGAAGCAACAAAUGCCCUGCUUCCAGGAAAAGCCUCUAAGCAUCAGGUAACAUCAAAUCGUACCCCAAACCGACACAGGUGGUCAGGUAGAGAAUACCAAGGCGCUUGAGAGAACUCGGGUGAAGGAACUAGGCAAAAUGGUGCCGUAACUUCGGGAGAAGGCACGCUGAUAUGUAGGUGAAGCGACUUGCUCGUGGAGCUGAAAUCAGUCGAAGAUACCAGCUGGCUGCAACUGUUUAUUAAAAACACAGCACUGUGCAAACACGAAAGUGGACGUAUACGGUGUGACGCCUGCCCGGUGCCGGAAGGUUAAUUGAUGGGGUUAGCGCAAGCGAAGCUCUUGAUCGAAGCCCCGGUAAACGGCGGCCGUAACUAUAACGGUCCUAAGGUAGCGAAAUUCCUUGUCGGGUAAGUUCCGACCUGCACGAAUGGCGUAAUGAUGGCCAGGCUGUCUCCACCCGAGACUCAGUGAAAUUGAACUCGCUGUGAAGAUGCAGUGUACCCGCGGCAAGACGGAAAGACCCCGUGAACCUUUACUAUAGCUUGACACUGAACAUUGAGCCUUGAUGUGUAGGAUAGGUGGGAGGCUUUGAAGUGUGGACGCCAGUCUGCAUGGAGCCGACCUUGAAAUACCACCCUUUAAUGUUUGAUGUUCUAACGUGGACCCGUGAUCCGGGUUGCGGACAGUGUCUGGUGGGUAGUUUGACUGGGGCGGUCUCCUCCUAAAGAGUAACGGAGGAGCACGAAGGUUGGCUAAUCCUGGUCGGACAUCAGGAGGUUAGUGCAAUGGCAUAAGCCAGCUUGACUGCGAGCGUGACGGCGCGAGCAGGUGCGAAAGCAGGUCAUAGUGAUCCGGUGGUUCUGAAUGGAAGGGCCAUCGCUCAACGGAUAAAAGGUACUCCGGGGAUAACAGGCUGAUACCGCCC
This 1604-nucleotide ribosomal RNA is filed under the name Escherichia coli. RNAcentral describes it as "partial 23S ribosomal RNA". It matches the Rfam family "Bacterial large subunit ribosomal RNA", at positions 907 to 2493 of the family's 2925-position model. The record is from RNAcentral. Lineage: Bacteria; Pseudomonadati; Pseudomonadota; Gammaproteobacteria; Enterobacterales; Enterobacteriaceae.